ACAUAACUAGCUAGUAUAUUGGACCUAAACACUUAACAGCAUGAUCCUCACCAAGAACAAGAUAAAGAGAAGGUUAACUAUCUCGAUGUCCUAAAGAACACUAGACUAUUUUACUUAGCAAAGUUAGAAGAGCUACCAGUCUCUCUGAUACAGCCUCCAGGGAGAAGGAACCUAAAUUUGUCCGCAUUCUUUAUCAGAUAAGCUGGAAGGUUAAUAGCAGAAGCUGAUUUGGGAAUCGGUCCCAUCUUUGCUGAUCACUUCCUUGAAUGUGUACCCUUCAGGCAACAUAUCGAAAAGAUCAUCUCCUUGACAAAUGAGCUUCUGUAUUCUUCCGUAAUCCAGAAAAUCUCUCCGCCACACACGGUCUGCGUGGCUAUAAGCACUCAUCUUGAACACAAACUCCUCAAUGUGCCGAAAGCAAAAACUACAAUGCCAUCCUGCAUCAGAGAGCAGGUCAUCAGCACGCCUCGAAUGCGUGUACCUGGUAUCCUUGCUGUAGAUAGUGGCUGCAGUCUUCCAGAUGCUGUCCAUNNNNNNNNNNNNNNNNNNNNUUGCUGAAGAUGAUGGCAUCGAAAAUACGGCGUGGGGUGGCACGCACGGACCAGCCAUGAAGGCGGCAGAGAUGUUCCAUGCUUGCAUUUUCUGCAUAGUAGUGUGGCAGCCAUGUGAACGGAGCUGGCGGCGUAUCCCAAAGUGGCCGCAAGAAGUAUGUAACUUUCCGGUAAUCUGUAUAGAAUCCUAACAUACAUGCAGACACAAAUAUCAACAGUAGGAGAUAAAAGAAGUUGCGUGGAGUUCGUCUGGAAUUAGGACGAAGAGAUCGUGGUGCCAUGCCGUGAAGGAUAUUUCUUCUCUUUUUGAAAGUAUAGCCGGGUGGUGUGCCAUCAAGCCUUGAUUAAAGAAACCGCGGAAUCCAUAACGGGACGUGGUGCCUAUACCCCAAUUUACAAAACUCAAGAGAACUUCCUGAAAUUAAUACAAACAUAGAGGUUUAGUCAUGUCAAAAAUCAUAGCUCUAACAAUCUUGAUCUACCUGCAUAGAGAAAACGUUUUUAAAUCAUGAUGAUAAACAAUGUACCUCACUGCUUUUGCACAAAUUGUAAUACUACCUGGUUUUCUUUAUCACAACUCAAAGUGACUGAAAGUGAGAUUCUUGAAACCCCACCAUGUCAUCUGAUAAAGGGGAAUUGAAAAGCCCUUUGGCAAAUAUUCAAAUACAUCGAUCGUAUGUUUUAAACCCAACAAAUCGUUCAAGAAAAACCAUGUCUAUCAUAGUUUUUUUGCUCACACCAUAAGACAUCAGUUCAAGAGCCUAUCUAACAUUUUAUGAAACAGCAACCAAAUCUCUCUUAGAUAAUUCAGGGUCUAAUAUGCAUUCCAGAAAUUCAAAUCCUAAAUUAAGAAAUCAAACUCGUAAAAACUCUUAGAAGGACAAUGAAACCAAUAAGAUAGAGAUAUAUACCUCCAGUGUCCGCAGGUACAAGAGAGCGAAGGAGGACAGCAAAGCCUAAGAUGGCAGAAAUUCUUGAGUUUGAGACUGAGCAGUCACCCGUCUAAAUUACAAAGAUCAACAAAGUGGGUAUGUGGUUGCUGUUCAAGCGGGGGGGGGGGUAGAUGUUUUGAAGAAAUUUUGUCUCCAUAUAGGAGAAUUUUCCCAACAAAGUGGAUAUGGACAAAAUUUGGUAGCUUUAUAAUAAACACUGGUGCGGUCGUUCUCAAGUCUUAAUGUUUGUGUAAGUUUUAUUAAGUGUAUGACUUGUGUUGGGCUUAAUUAAAUAGAGCCCAACUAAACUCGCUAGGUGUAUUUAGAGAUUUUAUAAAUUUGCUGGCCGAGUUUAAAAAGUUUGCUAGGUGUUCUUAAAUAUUUUCCUGCAGGAUGACCCAAUAGACCAGAAACAAGCUAGGUUAACCAGUUCUGUCAUACUAUCAAAUUCGAAAGUGAACUAAUUUUCUCAUCAACUUGGCACUCUAACUGUCUAGAUUUCCUAAAAAACACUAAGAUCAGGAGAUAACUCCUUGGCAAAGUUGAGAUCAAUUCUUGAAGAACCACCGUGUUUUUCUGAUGAAAUGGAAUUGAAAUAGUCCUCCAACUGCUGUUUAUAGCUAAUUUCAAGAUUCAAGUUGUAAUUAAGUCAGUGAAUUGAACGAUUCAUACCUAUAACAAUGCCUAAAGUUAAUGAAGUCUCUAAUGCAUGUCUCAUAAAGAGAGUAGGAAAACCAAGUACAAUCUUACGCCAUAGCAAAAGUGAUAAUAUAUUUGGCUAAUCGCAUCACACAAAUGUGCUUCUUAACUUGUAUGAAAAACAAAGAUCUACAAAACAUUAUGGGACAAAGUUUGAACGGUGAUUUAAUACAAUUCAAAAAAUAUAUAUGAUUACAAUCUUAGCUUUGAAUGUAUCAUAGAUUCAUAGCUAUGAACAGCGUUAUAUGAUCCAAAUAAAAACUUUCCAAGACGGUGUGGACUAAACCAAAUAGGUCGGAAAAUUGGUGUCUCAAGGGUGGCUAAAUUGGUUCUGACUUUUGUGCCACCCUAGAUUAUGAACAAAUCUUGGCCGCCUGAAUUUCCAGUGCACUACCUUGUUAUUUGGGAUGGAGAAACCAAGCAAAUUAGGCAUCAUGGUUGGUCAGAUUUUUGAUGCAUAAAUCCAUUCAGUAGUCCAUUCUAUAAACUGGUGGUCCUGGACUAUGCUUCGAUUCAUUUAUAAUAGGAGCAUGCAAUCAUGCAUGUCCCUGUGAUUGACUUUGAAAGUUUUGGCGACUACACCGACCCGGAGUACACGUACAUUUCAGUCACCGUCAAGUGUUGCGAACGAUCUAAGCCAUGCCUUCAAAAGAUGCGAGUUAAAAGAAAACACUACCGGGAAAGUCCUGACACACAACAUCUCUAGUUUAUCUUUAACGGUAACUAAUUGUGUCUAAAAUAUUUAUGAUAACAUAAAUCUAAAAGGACUAGGAAGAACGUUUUAUGGGUAUCGGGAUUGAAACAGUGGGUAUCGGGAUUGCAACAGUCCUCGUCGUACUUGACAGAAACGAAAAUAAAGAACACAACAAUUUGUUUACUCAAUAAAACCUCAAUUUGAGGAAAAACACUGCUGGGGCUUUAACUCUUAAAAGCCUCUAUUGAAAAGAAAAUACACUAUGAAUCAAGAACGAGUCAAUUACAAACUUUCUAGCACUAACUGCGGCUAUUAUCUCUAGAACCCCAGUAGAUAUGGUUGAAACACUCUUCUUCUUCAAAUAAUCUCUUCUUCAAUCUCCAAGGAACUAACCACAUCCUUGAUCCUUUAAUCACAUAAACAAGUUCAACUCAACACGAAACAGUUGAACUUGUGACCUUACAAAGUAUUGCAGCGGAAAUACUAUCUCUCAAAUGCUAUGCGUGCAAAGAUAGUUCUCUAAGAAUAAUUGUGCAAAAUGUAUUCUUCCAAUAGCUGUUGCAUCUUCUUUUAUAGAUGAAGAACUUCUACUCUUUAUUCACGUCUUUAAUCAGAUUGGUUUCCAAUAGAUAAGUCCUUCUCCUAUUACUAUACAAAGACAACAAUAAUAUCAGAUAUAAAAUAUAUCCCAAAUCAAAUAAUAAUAAUCAGAGUAUAUAUAACCUAAUCACAUUAGGUUUUCUUCCUUUUCAAGUGCACGAAUCUCAUGAUUUAAUGAAUCAACAUCCUAACCAAAUUAGGAUCCUUAUCUAUGAACGUAAUAGCUUCUUUCCCUGUGUAUAUCAUAUCCAAUUAAACAUAGAUAUAUAUAUAUAUAUAUAUACAUAGAGGAUGUAGAGCGGACGUCCGCACUCGGCUUAAAGUGCGGACGUCCAUCCGUUCUCCACCCUCCGGCGCCGGCGAUGGCGCGCCUCCACCCCAGAAGACUCCAGCAGCGUCCCCGACCACUUCUCCUCCCCGGCGAGUUCCGUUUUUUUCCAGUUUCCGGCGAGAUCGACUUUGUUUGAAGUUUUGGAUGAUCUCGCCAGAAAACCGGAAAAGAAUGGACUUGCCGGGGAGAGAAAGUGGUCGGGGACGCUGCUGGAGUCUUCUGGGGUAGAGGCGUGCCGGCGCCGGAGGGUGAAGAACGGACGGACGUCCGCACUUUAAGGCCGGUGCGGACGUCCGCUCCACAUCCGGCCUAUAUAUAUAUAUAUAUCCAUAUAUGUCAUAGUGAAAAUAGCCUUGCUUUUUUUGAACUCAAAGACAAUUUUGUUAUUAGUACUAAAGUAUAGGGUACAAUACGAAUCGAUUCGUUGCUGGAAACAAUAGUUCCUUGAUGUAAAUGAUCCAAAAUAGUAAAUUACCAUAGCACCUAGUAAAGUAGCAGCAGCAUUUGAACUUGUAGCAGCUCACCUCUGGGAGGUAAAUUUGUAGCUUGCAAAUGUGUAAUGUGUCGACUUCAGGAGAAGACUUUGGCUUUAGGAUUGAGCAAGGAAACAACGUUGUGCUUGCAUUUCCUUAAGGUGACACACUUAAACCGGCUAUGCUUACGUCCCUAAGUGGUUCCUAAUAACCCCAAUGAUCUGCUGCAAUAAUAUAUCUCUUUAUUCACACAAAGCCAUGUCCAACCCUCAUGUUAAUACAAGGUGCCGGAUAUGAAGCUUUAAUUGGUAUAUGGUGAAUUGAUGAUGGCUUCAAGGAUGAUGACUUGCUCACAUCGCGGAUGCAGAAACUUAACCUUCUUGAGGAAGAUAUGGAUCACAAUAGUAUAGAGUUCUGUGAGUUGAGCAAAUCCGAGAGAAAGGAUAUGAUUUCUAUGUUGAUCAUCAGACACAGGAGGAGGAGGAGGAGGAGGAGGCUUGUAAACCAAGUUUUCGAAGAAGUCAUUGUAUUGAGAGAGGUCUCCAAACUCUGAUGUCUUAACCACAGUGGUUCCCUUGGCAAGAAAAGAACCUCAGAGAAUAUGUGAGUUUCAUACUUUCAUUAUUAAUUUUAUAUUCUCAUAAUAUUUUAUUUUUGAUGAACAAGAAUUACCAAGCAUGUUAAUUAAGAGAAGAUUGAUUCAUGUUGUAGCAUUCUCCAGAAUGGUUGAAGUUAAGGAACCAUGAGAAUGUCCAUAAAGAUCACAAUGAUUCUUGUUGCGGAAGUACUAGACUUGAACACCAUACUUUAUAUCUCCUAACAUAACUAGCUAGCAUAUUUGACUUGAACACUUAACCGCAUGAUCCUCACCAAGGACAAGAUAAAGAGAAGGUUAACUAUCUCGAUGUCCUAAAGAACACUAAGAUCAGAAUGACUAUUUUCCUUAGCAAAGUUAGAAGAGCUACCAGUCUCUCUGAUACAGCCUCCAGGGAGAAGGAACCUAAAUUUGUCCGCAUUCUUUAUCAGAUAAGCUGGAAGGUUAAUAGCAGAAGCUGAUUUGGGAAUCGAUCCCAUCUUGCUGAUCACUUCCUUGAAUGUGUACCCUUCAGGCAACAUAUCGAAAAGAUCAUCUCCUUGACAAAUGAGCUUCUGUAUUCUUCCGUAAUCCAGAAAAUCUCUCCGCCACACACGGUCUGCGUGGCUAUAAGCACUCAUCUUGAACACAAACUCCUCAAUGUGCCGAAAGCAAAAACUACAAUGCCAUCCUGCAUCAGAGAGCAGGUCAUCAGUACGCCUCGAAUGCGUGUACCUGGUAUCCUUGCUGUAGAUAGUGGCUGCAGUCUUCCAGAUGCUGUCCAUGGGGAACUCAAAUGAGUACAGGUAAUGCUUCAUCUCAAGAUGCAAUUCAGAAGGGAUUCCCUCACACCAUU
This 5710-nucleotide long non-coding RNA is filed under the name Fragaria vesca (wild strawberry). RNAcentral describes it as "long non-coding RNA (FVES_LNC000062)". Lineage: Eukaryota; Viridiplantae; Streptophyta; Magnoliopsida; Rosales; Rosaceae. The record is from RNAcentral.